GCACAGACAAAGUCUCAGUGUUUAAGUCCAGGCUAAAAACACAUUUGUUUAGUCUAUCUUUUUAUGAAUAGCUUUUCUUAGAUAAAGUAGUAUAUCUGGAGGGUUCAUGGGCAUGUUUGAUGCCUGUAUACUGUCAGCUUACCACCCUCGCAGGUCGCUCAGGUUUGAAGACUGUGGAGUGGUGGGAUGCUUUACAUCCCAGGAAGCUCUCAUGUUGGUCACACCUUCUGGCCCUAGCCUUUUAGUUAUGCUGUCAUAGCUAGUCUUGCCAGAGUCCCUGUCUGCACUUUGCACAUAAUUUACACUGUCCAUCACUGAUUACAGUCAUACCUAGCAAUUUUUCUCUUUCUCUCUUUCAAGCUAUAUAUGCCGCUCCCGGUGUUCCGAGUUCCUAGCCUGAUGUUUUUUUUUUGUUUUUUUUUUACCUUAGUGAGUUCCUAGGUAUGUUAUUCUGACCUUAGACUGUACCUAGAGUGUCCCCAAGUAUGUUAUUCUGACCUUAGACUGUAUCUAGAGUGUCCCCAGGUAUGUUAUUUUGACCUUAGACUGUACCUAGGUAUGUAACUCUGACCUUAGACUGUACCUAGAGUGUCUCCAAGCAUGUUAUUUUGGCUUUAGAGUGUCACUAUGUUAUAAUGACUUUAGAUUCUCCAUAGGUAUGUUAUACUGACCUUAGUGUGCCUAGAGUGCUCCCAGGAAUUGUUAACCAAGAUUAAGUGAAGUGUUGCAUAACCCAGGGUAAAAAAGCAAUGAUAACCUCGCAUCUAAAUAGUAAUUGCAAAAUGUUCCUCUACCAGGAGGUUAAAAGCAGGUUUUAGAAUGAGAGAAUCAAAAUGAUAGCCAGAAUGGCAUAUUCCUACACCAAAUUUUCUGUAUACACCAAACCUGGUCACUUGGCAAUCCUAAUGAACAUAAGUCAUACUUGACACACUGAAUGGCAUCCUGCAUUUAGUGUAAUAACUAUGCAGACUUUUGCAGUUAUGUACAGUUUAUGUUCUAUAGUUUAAUUUGAUCGGUAGUUGUAUACAUAGUAGAGAAGAUGUACUGUAACAGAUUGUACAGGGUGGAGCAGAACUGCAAGAUGAUUACAGGCAGUGAAGGUUUAGUGAGACAUCAGGGUCCAAGCAGUGUACUUUAGAGUUUAGUUUAAGAAAUGUUUGAUGAACGUCAUGUGAUAUGGUUAAAAAACUUUCCUGGAAUCUUAAAUAUCUACGUGGAUCAGACGCAGAACAUGAUCACAAUCUGAGAUCAGACAGACGUCUUACAGUGAACUGUGUAAUAAUUAAUAAAUAAAUACAUACAUGCAUACAUACAUACAUACAUAAAUACAUAAACAAUAAGAAAGUCUUGAGCUCUGGAGCAAGGUCCUUAAUCCUCUAUGAUAAAAGGAUGCUGAAUUUGUGCUAUGACCUUAACCUCGAAACAAACAGGGAUAUGCAAAAAAAAAUUAUUUUACUGAGCUGUAAUGUAUAGGAUACUUUUAAAAAAGUGCUUUGUAAGUUGCUCUAUUUGCAUAUUAUCUCUGACGUGUAGAUACUUUGAAACCAUAGAAACAAACAUUUAGUAAUGUGGUUGUCUCUCCAAGUCUUUAAUCAGUCAUUCAUCUCAUGGACAGGCCUCCGAGACUGAGUGACGCAGGAGUGACAUUAGAGCGGUGAGUUGCGCCCGUCAGUCGGUGGGUGUUUUCAUGUGCGCAGGGACAAAUAUAACAUUAACACCCCGACUUAAGGUAGACAGAAAGAACAGUCAUGAUGAAAGGAGCUGUGCUUAUCCUUCUGUUCCUGAUUGGCCUUUUUCAAAGCUCUUCUCUCGCUGGGCCCCUGGACAGGCUUCAGAUGCCAGAAAUCCAGACAGAAGCUGUGGAGACCGGACCUUUAGAUGAGUCUCAGAAUGGGAUAGCUCAGUCUAUUGGUGUUCGGCUGAGAAGAGAGACCCUCAUCAUCUCAAAAACACCUGACCGUUUCUGUCCUGGCUGCUUCUCUGUCAUCGGUGACCCAACCAGACCACAGCAGUAACUAACCUAAGAGGAAAAAAAAAACAAUUUGACUCUAUUUUAUAACUUUUUUUACUUGGAGUAUUUUAUAUGUAUACAACUAUUAAGUUUUAGCUUUGAUGAAUAAAACACGCCUGUUUAUCAUCUUCUGUUAAAAAAAAGUGUUGUUUUUUUUAGUGUUUUAUGUAUUUGUACUUUUAUGUGAUGUAUAUUUGUUCUUUUUUUUUCAUUGCAACCAAAGCAUUACUGCACCUGUAAUUUGUGGAUUUCCUAAACUGUCACGUAAUUACAUGGAUUAGAGAUUGACGUCCGAGCGACUGGUUUGGCGCUGUGUCAUUACGACCACAGAGUAUUAUUAUGAUGCUUGGAGGUGUGGUCUGCGACAAUUAAGGCGAUUAUUCUCUCAGCCCACCUUGACCAGUCAUUUUUCACGUUGGACACUUUUUCUAUCCCAGGCUGUAAUUUUGGAGGGAGAGGUUUUGCUUACUUUCUGAGAAAUUGUUCAAAACAUCUAGUAUACAAUUAAAUGUAUACAAUUAAAAUGCAAGGCAUGUUUUGGAGUGUGACUUACAUCCAUGUGGUUUAUUAUUGUCAUUAAAUAUAUCUCACUUUUUUAAAAUAUAUAAUUAAUUCAAGUCAUGGAGCAAAAGGGCCAUUAGUACAAGUGAAAUUUAUACAUUUUAUAAAAAUAUUUCCUGAAGUGUCUGUAAUUGCAAGUGCAGGGUGAAGCCAUGCUUAUAAAGGCCAAUUCUUAUCUUUUGCCCUUUUCCCCCUCUUUCACUUCAGAAUCUGUGGGAAAAUAUUAAACUAAAAUGACUUAAGAGAGACCUACUGAAAGAAUAUAAUAAUAUUGAUUUUAUUAAAGUGGGGGGGGGGCA
Tachysurus fulvidraco (yellow catfish) is the source of this 2871-nucleotide long non-coding RNA. RefSeq lists it as uncharacterized. The transcript is spliced from 3 exons. The record is from RefSeq and is a predicted model, not a curated record. NCBI's taxonomy places the organism in Eukaryota, Metazoa, Chordata, Actinopteri, Siluriformes, Bagridae.